AAAUGAAUAGACGGGGGCCCGCACAAGCGGUGGAUUAUGUGGUUUAAUUCGAUGAUACGCGAGGAACCUUACCAAGGCUUAAAUGGGAAAUGACAGGUUUAGAAAUAGACUUUUCUUCGGACAUUUUUCAAGGUGCUGCAUGGUUGUCGUCAGCUCGUGCCGUGAGGUGUUAGGUUAAGUCCUGCAACGAGCGCAACCCCUGUCACUAGUUGCCAUCAUUAAGUUGGGGACUCUAGUGAGACUGCCUACGCAAGUAGAGAGGAAGGUGGGGAUGACGUCAAAUCAUCACGGCCCUUACGCCUUGGGCCACACACGUAAUACAAUGGCCGGUACAGAGGGCAGCUACACUGCGAAGUGAUGCAAAUCUCGAAAGCCGGUCUCAGUUCGGAUUGGAGUCUGCAACUCGACUCUAUGAAGCUGGAAUCGCUAGUAAUCGCGCAUCAGCCAUGGCGCGGUGAAUACGUUCCCGGGCCUUGUACACACCGCCCGU
Molecule: ribosomal RNA, 490 nt
Filed under: uncultured bacterium
Lineage: Bacteria
Description: bacterial SSU rRNA
Rfam family: Bacterial small subunit ribosomal RNA
Source: RNAcentral